RNAcentral lists this ribosomal RNA (1383 nucleotides) under human gut metagenome. RNAcentral's name for it is "bacterial LSU rRNA". It matches the Rfam family "Bacterial large subunit ribosomal RNA", at positions 1157 to 2524 of the family's 2925-position model. The record is from RNAcentral.
GCCUGCGCGGAAGAUGUAACGGGGCUAAACCAUGCACCGAAGCUGCGGCAGCGACGCUGAUGCGUUGUUGGGUAGGGGAGCGUUCUGUAAGCCUGCGAAGGUGUGCUGUGAGGCAUGCUGGAGGUAUCAGAAGUGCGAAUGCUGACAUAAGUAACGAUAAAGCGGGUGAAAAGCCCGCUCGCCGGAAGACCAAGGGUUCCUGUCCAACGUUAAUCGGGGCAGGGUGAGUCGACCCCUAAGGCGAGGCCGAAAGGCGUAGUCGAUGGGAAACAGGUUAAUAUUCCUGUACUUGGUGUUACUGCGAAGGGGGGACGGAGAAGGCUAUGUUGGCCGGGCGACGGUUGUCCCGGUUUAAGCGUGUAGGCUGGUUUUCCAGGCAAAUCCGGAAAAUCAAGGCUGAGGCGUGAUGACGAGGCACUACGGUGCUGAAGCAACAAAUGCCCUGCUUCCAGGAAAAGCCUCUAAGCAUCAGGUAACAUCAAAUCGUACCCCAAACCGACACAGGUGGUCAGGUAGAGAAUACCAAGGCGCUUGAGAGAACUCGGGUGAAGGAACUAGGCAAAAUGGUGCCGUAACUUCGGGAGAAGGCACGCUGAUAUGUAGGUGAAGUCCCUCGCGGAUGGAGCUGAAAUCAGUCGAAGAUACCAGCUGGCUGCAACUGUUUAUUAAAAACACAGCACUGUGCAAACACGAAAGUGGACGUAUACGGUGUGACGCCUGCCCGGUGCCGGAAGGUUAAUUGAUGGGGUUAGCGCAAGCGAAGCUCUUGAUCGAAGCCCCGGUAAACGGCGGCCGUAACUAUAACGGUCCUAAGGUAGCGAAAUUCCUUGUCGGGUAAGUUCCGACCUGCACGAAUGGCGUAAUGAUGGCCAGGCUGUCUCCACCCGAGACUCAGUGAAAUUGAACUCGCUGUGAAGAUGCAGUGUACCCGCGGCAAGACGGAAAGACCCCGUGAACCUUUACUAUAGCUUGACACUGAACAUUGAGCCUUGAUGUGUAGGAUAGGUGGGAGGCUUUGAAGUGUGGACGCCAGUCUGCAUGGAGCCGACCUUGAAAUACCACCCUUUAAUGUUUGAUGUUCUAACGUUGACCCGUGAUCCGGGUUGCGGACAGUGUCUGGUGGGUAGUUUGACUGGGGCGGUCUCCUCCUAAAGAGUAACGGAGGAGCACGAAGGUUGGCUAAUCCUGGUCGGACAUCAGGAGGUUAGUGCAAUGGCAUAAGCCAGCUUGACUGCGAGCGUGACGGCGCGAGCAGGUGCGAAAGCAGGUCAUAGUGAUCCGGUGGUUCUGAAUGGAAGGGCCAUCGCUCAACGGAUAAAAGGUACUCCGGGGAUAACAGGCUGAUACCGCCCAAGAGUUCAUAUCGACGGCGGUGUUUGGCAC